Molecule: ribosomal RNA, 377 nt
Filed under: uncultured bacterium
Lineage: Bacteria
Description: bacterial SSU rRNA
Rfam family: Bacterial small subunit ribosomal RNA
Source: RNAcentral
AUUGAACGCUGGCGGCAUGCUUUACACAUGCAAGUCGAACGGCAGCGGGGGCUUCGGCCUGCCGGCGAGUGGCGAACGGGUGAGUAAUGCAUCGGAACGUGCCCAGUCAUGGGGGAUAACUACGCGAAAGCGUAGCUAAUACCGCAUACGCCCUGAGGGGGAAAGUGGGGGAUCUUCGGACCUCACGUGAUUGGAGCGGCCGAUGUCAGAUUAGCUAGUUGGUGAGGUAAAGGCUCACCAAGGCGACGAUCUGUAGCGGGUCUGAGAGGAUGAUCCGCCACACUGGGACUGAGACACGGCCCAGACUCCUACGGGAGGCAGCAGUGGGGAAUUUUGGACAAUGGGCGCAAGCCUGAUCCAGCCAUGCCGCGUGAGUG